GUAAAUUAGGGCACGACUCUUUUUAUUAAUAUGCUAACAAUGUAACUAAUACAUAAAAUGAGCAGGCUCAAAAUGAAAAUAAAAAUAUCUGAUCAAAGAUUUGGUCCAACAAGGAACCAGAUCAAAUAAAAAAUAUCGCCCUAAAAGAUAAGGUUCCCUAAUUUAUUGACUUAGUCAAGACAAAAUGGCAUUGCAGAGGACCUUCUUCAACUCUGAAUUCAUCUCUUUUUGUGCAUCAUCAAUUAGACCAGACCACGUACUAGGGACGAGCUUAUCUUACAGCUCACAAAAUGAGUUGUUAGUCUGGGCAUUGAAUUCGAGAGUUGCUUAUUCGGUGGAGGUGUUCGAGUGCGGUUUCGGCAAUUGAGAUACUAGUUGGGGUACCUCACGUGGCAGUUGAUACUCUAGCGGAUUGUGUACUCUCAAAUUAGUGGUGAGGUCCCAGAAUUCGGAUCGUCACUAGUUUAUCCUUAUUUUUCAGUCUUUUGUAUCAUUCAGAGACUUAUGUUGUAUCUUCAGAUUCGAACCUUGUAUUAGAUGCUCUUUAUACUUAUGACACUAGG
Molecule: long non-coding RNA, 563 nt
Organism: Solanum dulcamara
Lineage: Eukaryota; Viridiplantae; Streptophyta; Magnoliopsida; Solanales; Solanaceae
Exons: 3
Source: RefSeq, a predicted model, not a curated record